AUGUACCCCGCAUACAUCCGGUUGCUCUGCGCCGUCCGCAGCCAGCUGACGACCACUCGCCAACUUUUGUCAGUC
This 75-nucleotide small RNA is filed under the name Xanthomonas sp. 3793. Its description in RNAcentral is "sRNA sX9". It matches the Rfam family "Xanthomonas sRNA sX9". Lineage: Bacteria; Pseudomonadati; Pseudomonadota; Gammaproteobacteria; Lysobacterales; Lysobacteraceae. The record is from RNAcentral.